This 516-nucleotide ribosomal RNA is filed under the name uncultured Glomus. Its description in RNAcentral is "SSU rRNA". It matches the Rfam family "Eukaryotic small subunit ribosomal RNA", at positions 569 to 1087 of the family's 1831-position model. Lineage: Eukaryota; Fungi; Glomeromycota; Glomeromycetes; Glomerales; Glomeraceae. The record is from RNAcentral.
AGCAGCCGCGGUAAUUCCAGCUCCAAUAGCGUAUAUUAAAGUUGUUGCAGUUAAAAAGCUCGUAGUUGAAUUUCGGGGUUAGUAGGCUGGUCGUGCCACAGGUAUGCACUGGUCUUACUGAUUCCUCCUUCCUGAUGAACCGUAAUGCCAUUAAUUUGGUGUUGCGGGGAGUCUGGACUGUUACUUUGAAAAAUUAGAGUGUUUAAAGCAGGCUAACGCUUGAAUACAUUAGCAUGGAAUAACGAAAUAGGACGUUCGAUCCUAUUUUGUUGGUUUCUAGGAUUGACGUAAUGAUUAAUAGGGAUAGUUGGGGGCAUUAGUAUUCAAUUGUCAGAGGUGAAAUUCUUGGAUUUAUUGAAGACUAACUACUGCGAAAGCAUUUGCCAAGGAUGUUUUCAUUAAUCAAGAACGAAAGUUAGGGGAUCGAAGACGAUCAGAUACCGUCGUAGUCUUAACCAUAAACUAUGCCGACUAGGGAUCGGAUGAUGUUAAUUUUUAAUGUACUCAUUCGGCGCC